GAUAUAUUCAUAAUCUGUCACCAAAUAUCGCCGGAACAGAGUUUCUGGAUAACCCAAUCUGUUUCAUUCAAUGCAUCAUCAGCCAAUCUUGAUCAAUUCUUCAUCAGCCAGACUUGUAAGAAUUAAUAAUUUCUGUUCCGGCGAUAUUUGGUGGCAGAUUAUGAAUAUAUC
Molecule: non-coding RNA, 171 nt
Organism: Podarcis lilfordi (Lilford's wall lizard)
Lineage: Eukaryota; Metazoa; Chordata; Lepidosauria; Squamata; Lacertidae
Source: the annotation of a GenBank genome assembly